Elaeis guineensis (African oil palm) is the source of this 566-nucleotide long non-coding RNA. RefSeq lists it as uncharacterized. The record is from RefSeq and is a predicted model, not a curated record. NCBI's taxonomy places the organism in Eukaryota, Viridiplantae, Streptophyta, Magnoliopsida, Arecales, Arecaceae.
UUAGUUUUAUCUUCCAUAUGCCCAUAAUUCUUACACGUUUUGGUUUGCGAUGCUGGUACUGAUGCUAAUCUCUCUCUCUCUCUCUCUCUCUCUCUCUCUCUCUCUUCUGUGUCACACAUGAGGGCUGGUCGGCAAUUUAGAGAAGAUGUGGGACAGAAGAGAAGACAGAAGAGGUAAUUCUUAGGUUUUAAAGUGGCUGUGGUCUUUCACGCAUGGUUGGUGCUUUUGAGAUCUUGACCUGGGGGGCUGAACCUCGACAUCCUUCCCUGAAUUCUAGUUGCAUGGUUGGGAGAGUGUAUGGGCUUAAACAAUUUGGUCAGGGACACGGGCAGUGCUUUUCAGUUGAAAGAUAUGGAAAAUGUGUCUCAUGCUAUCCUCUGGGGAUUCUUUUAAAAACUUGAUUAUGUCAUGUAUCUGUAUUGUUAUAAGAUAUAACAAUACCCCAGACUUGUCAGUUAUUUCAUGCUUUAAUUGCAGCGAAGAAGAGAAUUUAUUGUAAGGUAUCAUCCCACAUAUGUGUUAAAUGAUUGGAGACUUCUAUUAUUCAUGAAAUGUAACUGGGUGCA